Molecule: ribosomal RNA, 735 nt
Filed under: uncultured archaeon S30-9
Lineage: Archaea
Description: bacterial SSU rRNA
Rfam family: Archaeal small subunit ribosomal RNA
Source: RNAcentral
UUUGGGAUAACCCCGGGAAACUGGGGAUAAUACCGGAUAGAUCAUCUUUGCUGGAAGGCUUGGUGGUUGAAACUCUUCGGGGGCUGUUGGAUGGGUCUGCGGCUGAUUANGUUGUUGCCGGUGUAAUGUACCGUCAAGCCUGUAAUCAGUACGGGUUGUGGGAGCAAGAGCCCGGAGAUGGAUUCUGAGACACGAAUCCAGGCCCUACGGGGCGCAGCAGGCGCGAAAACUCUACAAUGCAGGCAACUGCGAUAGGGGAACAUCGAGUGAUCCUCAUAUUGGGGGUCUGUCCACCCGCCUAAAAAGCGGGUGUUAGCAAGGGCCGGGCAAGACCGGUGCCAGCCGCCGCGGUAAUACCGGCGGCUCGAGUGGUGGCCGAUAUUAUUGAGUCUAAAGGGUCCGUAGCCGGCUUUGCAAGUUUCUCGGGAAAUCCAGCGGCUUAACCGUUGGUCGUCCGGGGGGUACUGCAUUGCUUGGGACUGGGAGAGGCGAGAGGUACUCAGGGGGUAGGAGUGAAAUCCUGUAAUCCUCUGGGGACCACCGGUGGCGAAGGCGUCUCGCCAGAACAGGUCCGACGGUGAGGGACGAAAGCUAGGGGCACGAACCGGAUUAGAUACCCGGGUAGUCCUAGCCGUAAACGAUGCUCGCUAGGUGUCACAACAGUCGUGAACUGUUGUGGUGCCGUAGGGAAGCCGUGAAGCGAGCCACUUGGGAAGUACGACUGCAAGGUUGAAA